Trichonephila inaurata madagascariensis is the source of this 71-nucleotide non-coding RNA. The record is from the annotation of a GenBank genome assembly. NCBI's taxonomy places the organism in Eukaryota, Metazoa, Arthropoda, Arachnida, Araneae, Nephilidae.
GGCCCGUUAGUCAGCGGUUGUGAGCGUCGUGCUAAUAACGAAGGUCGUGGGUUCGAUCCCCUUACGGGCCA